This 491-nucleotide ribosomal RNA is filed under the name uncultured bacterium. RNAcentral describes it as "bacterial SSU rRNA". It matches the Rfam family "Bacterial small subunit ribosomal RNA", at positions 32 to 498 of the family's 1533-position model. The record is from RNAcentral.
AAUCAACGCUGGCGGCGUGCCUCAGACAUGCAAGUCGAACGCGAAAGUCCCCUUCGGGGGGGCAAGUAGAGUGGCGCACGGGUGAGUAACACGUAGGUAAUCUACCUUUGGAUGGGGAAUAACAACCGGAAACGGUUGCUAAUACCGCAUAAUGCAGCGGCACCUAAUGGUGACAGUUGUUAAAGCGGGGGAUCGAAAGACCUCGCGUCUGAAGAGGAGCCUGCGGCGGAUUAGCUAGUGGUAAGGUAACGGCUUACCAAGGCAACGAUCCGUAGCCGGCCUGAGAGGGCGGUCGGCCACACUGACACUGACAUACGGGUCAGACUCCUACGGGAGGCAGCAGUCGGGAAUUUUGGGCAAUGGGCGAAAGCCUGACCCAGCAACGCCGCGUGAAGGAUGAAAUCCCUCGGGAUGUAAACUUCGCAAGAACGGGAAGAAUAAGUAGGGGACAAUACCCCCUAUGAUGACGGUACCGUUUGUAAGCUCCGGCU